UACGGGGGGAGCAAGCGUUGUUCGGGAUUUACUGGGCGUGAAAGGGCGCGGUAGGCGGCCACCGCAAGUCGACUGUGAAAUCUCCGGGCUUAACCUGGAAAGGUCAGCCGAUACUGCGGGGCUAGAGUGCAGAAGGGGCAACUGGAAUUCUCGGUGUAGCGGUGAAAUGCGUAGAUAUCGAGAGGAACACCUGCGGCGAAGGCGGGUUGCUGGGCUGACACUGACGCUGAGGCGCGAAAGCUAGGGGAGCGAACGGG
This 257-nucleotide ribosomal RNA is filed under the name uncultured bacterium. Its description in RNAcentral is "partial 16S ribosomal RNA". It matches the Rfam family "Bacterial small subunit ribosomal RNA", at positions 524 to 776 of the family's 1533-position model. The record is from RNAcentral.